Molecule: ribosomal RNA, 468 nt
Filed under: uncultured bacterium
Lineage: Bacteria
Description: partial 16S ribosomal RNA
Rfam family: Bacterial small subunit ribosomal RNA
Source: RNAcentral
GACGAACGCUGGCGGCGUGCUUAACACAUGCAAGUCGAACGGAAAGGCCCUGCUUUUGUGGGGUGCUCGAGUUGCGAACGGGUGAGUAACACGUGAGUAACCUGCCCUUGACUUUGGGAUAACUUCAGGAAACUGGGGCUAAUACCGGAUAGGAGCUCCUGCUGCAUGGUGGGGGUUGGAAAGUUUCGGCGGUUGGGGAUGGACUGGCGGCUUAUCAGCUUGUUGGUGGGGUAGUGUCAUACCAAGGUUUUGACGGGUAGCCGGGCUGAGAGGGUGACCUGCCACAUUAGGCCUGGGAUACGACCCAGACUCCAACGGGACGCAGCAGUGGAGAGUAUUACACAAUAGGCGGAAGCCUGAUGCAGCCAAGCCGCGUGCGGGAUGACGGCCUUCGGGUUGUAAACCGCUGUUGCCUGUGACGGAGCGUGAGUGACGGUAAUGGGUAAAGAAGCACCGGCUAACUACGUG